This 521-nucleotide ribosomal RNA is filed under the name [Candida] sp. Ox3apO574. RNAcentral's name for it is "eukaryotic LSU rRNA". It matches the Rfam family "Eukaryotic large subunit ribosomal RNA", at positions 41 to 646 of the family's 3401-position model. Lineage: Eukaryota; Fungi; Ascomycota; Saccharomycetes; Saccharomycetales. The record is from RNAcentral.
UAUCAAUAAGCGGAGCACAAGGGUCCCUGCAUAUCAACUAAGCGGAGCAAACGGGUCCUUUCAUUGCAUAAGCCGGCUUCGUAUCNUGUUUCCUUGCAAACAGACACGAUCUCGNGNCGNGUGUNGAAUCCCUGUGCGAUGAGAUGCCCAUUUCCAUGUAAAGUUCCUUCGACGAGUCGAGUUGUUUGGGAAUGCAGCUCUAAGUGGGUGGUAAAUUCCAUCUAAAGCUAAAUAUUGGCGAGAGACCGAUAGCGAACAAGUACUGUGAAGGAAAGAUGAAAAGAACUUUGAAAAGAGAGUGAAAAAGUACGUGAAAUUGUUGAAAGGGAAGGGCUUGAGAUCAGACUUGGAAUUUUCCANCAAUGGAGCUUUCCGGGCCAGCAUCAGUUUGGAUGGCAGGCAUAAUUGCGUAGGAAAGUGGCACCACCUCGGUGGUGUGUUAUAGCCUGCGUCGAUACUGCCUAUCUAGACUGAGGACUGCCGUCUUUUGACUAGGAUGCUGGCAUAAUGAUCUUUAAGCC